CCUACGGGGGGCAGCAGUGGGGAAUAUUGGGCAAUGGGCGCAAGCCUGACCCAGCAACGCCGCGUGAAGGAAGAAGGCUUUCGGGUUGUAAACUUCUUUUGUCAGGGACGCAGCAAGUGACGGUACCUGACGAAUCAGCCACGGCUAACUACGUGCCAGCAGCCGCGGUUAUACGUAGGUGGCAAGCGUUAUCCGGAUUUAUUGGGUGUAAAGGGCGUGUAGGCGGGAAUGCAAGUCAGAUGUGAAAACUAUGGGCUCAACCCAUAGCCUGCAUUUGAAACUGUAUUUCUUGAGUGCUGGAGAGGCAAUCGGAAUUCGGUGUGUAGCGGUGAAAUGCGUAGAUAUACGGAGGAACACCAGUGGCGAAGGCGGAUUGCUGGUCAGUAACUGACGCUGAGGCGCGAAAGCGUGGGGAGCAAACAGGAUUAGAUACCCUGGUAGUC
RNAcentral lists this ribosomal RNA (443 nucleotides) under uncultured bacterium. RNAcentral's name for it is "partial 16S ribosomal RNA". It matches the Rfam family "Bacterial small subunit ribosomal RNA", at positions 338 to 795 of the family's 1533-position model. The record is from RNAcentral.